This 440-nucleotide ribosomal RNA is filed under the name uncultured bacterium. RNAcentral's name for it is "bacterial SSU rRNA". It matches the Rfam family "Bacterial small subunit ribosomal RNA", at positions 338 to 795 of the family's 1533-position model. The record is from RNAcentral.
CCUACGGGGGGCUGCAGUGGGGAAUAUUGCACAAUGGGGGAAACCCUGAUGCAGCAACGCCGCGUGAGCGAAGAAGGCCUUCGGGUCGUAAAGCUCUGUCCUAAGGGAAGAAUUUUGACGGUACCUUAGGAGGAAGCCCCGGCUAACUACGUGCCAGCAGCCGCGGUAAUACGUAGGGGGCAAGCGUUAUCCGGAAUCACUGGGCGUAAAGGGUGCGUAGGCGGCUAAGUAAGCCAGGGGUGAAAGGCUACGGCUCAACCGAGGUCAGCUCUUGAAACUGUAGGGCUUGAGUGCAGGAGAGGAGAGCGGAAUUCCUAGUGUAGCGGUGAAAUGCGUAGAUAUUAGGAGGAACACCAGUGGCGAAGGCGGCUCUCUGGACUGCAACUGACGCUGAGGCACGAAAGCGUGGGGAGCGAACAGGAUUAGAUACCCUUGUAGUC